GUGGUUUACUCACUCGCCGACGAAUUCUCACAAGGCACCCAGACCUCCGCCCCCUGUAUUUCUGUCUUUUCUUCAAAGCAGGAUAUCCUUCUCGUCGGACUCAUUAAAGAAAAAAUCUUUGUCCAGUUUGAGGUGUUGGAGGAGUAUGGGGUUUUGGACAGUCCAGAGAUGGAGCUGAGCCCAGAGGACCCAUCUACAGGUGGUUCAUCGCCCCUUGAUUCAUCAUCUCCCUGGCCUGGUUCAUCACCUCUCCGGCCCCUCUCCCCAACGCCCAGGCCCUUCUUACCAACACCCAACCCACAAUCCAGGCGCACCCGUGCUCUCUGCCAUGCAACUCCAUCAACCUCCACCCCAUCUCCCCGAUCCAGCUCCAAUGCCCAGAAGAGGAAGACAGCUGAGGAUCCUUUGGACACUGACAUUAUGCAGCGGGUGCAUGACUUAAAAAAAACGGCAGCAGGAGUUACAGAAACAGCAGCAGUGUCCAGCAAAGGCCGUCUACGAUGUCAUGGUACCAUGGAUGAUGUCUAUUCCUGCUGAUCAACGUCUCCCGUUUGUCUCACCCCUAAACCUGUUGUGUGCUUUUUUUCUUAUUCAUACGUUAUGGUGGCGAGUAACUUACUUGGGGGGGUUGCAUGUUUUUUGUACUUAUUUCCUCAUUCAUAUGUUACUGGUUUUUACUUAGUUUUUUCUCUUAUUUUCGACUUUCAUCACACUUUUCACCUGUGUAUUGCAUUGUACUAUUUUCCUCUUGUGAUAGUAAAUAAAUAUCUAAAAGGAC
RNAcentral lists this long non-coding RNA (778 nucleotides) under Salmo salar (Atlantic salmon). RNAcentral's name for it is "lncRNA (ENSSSAG00000078287.2)". The record is from RNAcentral. Lineage: Eukaryota; Metazoa; Chordata; Actinopteri; Salmoniformes; Salmonidae.